GGGUUGUGAGGUUAAGCGACUAAGCGUACACGGUGGAUGCCCUGGCAGUCAGAGGCGAUGAAGGACGUGCUAAUCUGCGAUAAGCGUCGGUAAGGUGAUAUGAACCGUUAUAACCGGCGAUUUCCGAAUGGGGAAACCCAGUGUGAUUCGUCACACUAUCAUUAACUGAAUUCAUAGGUUAAUGAGGCGAACCGGGGGAACUGAAACAUCUAAGUACCCCGAGGAAAAGAAAUCAACCGAGAUUCCCCCAGUAGCGGCGAGCGAACGGGGAGGAGCCCAGAGCCUGAAUCAGUGUGUGUGUUAGUGGAAGCGUCUGGAAAGGCGCGCGAUACAGGGUGACAGCCCCGUACACAAAAAUGCACAUGCUGUGAGCUCGAUGAGUAGGGCGGGACACGUGGUAUCCUGUCUGAAUAUGGGGGACCAUCCUCCAAGGCUAAAUACUCCUGACUGACCGAUAGUGAACCAGUACCGUGAGGGAAAGGCGAAAAGAACCCCGGCGAGGGGAGUGAAAAAGAACCUGAAACCGUGUACGUACAAGCAGUGGGAGCCUCUUAAUGGGGUGACUGCGUACCUUUUGUAUAAUGGGUCAGCGACUUAUAUUCUGUAGCAAGGUUAACCGAAUAGGGGAGCCGAAGGGAAACCGAGUCUUAACUGGGCGUUAAGUUGCAGGGUAUAGACCCGAAACCCGGUGAUCUAGCCAUGGGCAGGUUGAAGGUUGGGUAACACUAACUGGAGGACCGAACCGACUAAUGUUGAAAAAUUAGCGGAUGACUUGUGGCUGGGGGUGAAAGGCCAAUCAAACCGGGAGAUAGCUGGUUCUCCCCGAAAGCUAUUUAGGUAGCGCCUCGUGAAUUCAUCUCCGGGGGUAGAGCACUGUUUCGGCAAGGGGGUCAUCCCGACUUACCAACCCGAUGCAAACUGCGAAUACCGGAGAAUGUUAUCACGGGAGACACACGGCGGGUGCUAACGUCCGUCGUGAAGAGGGAAACAACCCAGACCGCCAGCUAAGGUCCCAAAGUCAUGGUUAAGUGGGAAACGAUGUGGGAAGGCCCAGACAGCCAGGAUGUUGGCUUAGAAGCAGCCAUCAUUUAAAGAAAGCGUAAUAGCUCACUGGUCGAGUCGGCCUGCGCGGAAGAUGUAACGGGGCUAAACCAUGCACCGAAGCUGCGGCAGCGACGCUUAUGCGUUGUUGGGUAGGGGAGCGUUCUGUAAGCCUGCGAAGGUGUACUGUGAGGUAUGCUGGAGGUAUCAGAAGUGCGAAUGCUGACAUAAGUAACGAUAAAGCGGGUGAAAAGCCCGCUCGCCGGAAGACCAAGGGUUCCUGUCCAACGUUAAUCGGGGCAGGGUGAGUCGACCCCUAAGGCGAGGCCGAAAGGCGUAGUCGAUGGGAAACAGGUUAAUAUUCCUGUACUUGGUGUUACUGCGAAGGGGGGACGGAGAAGGCUAUGUUGGCCGGGCGACGGUUGUCCCGGUUUAAGCGUGUAGGCUGGUUUUCCAGGCAAAUCCGGAAAAUCAAGGCUGAGGCGUGAUGACGAGGCACUACGGUGCUGAAGUAACAAAUGCCCUGCUUCCAGGAAAAGCCUCUAAGCAUCAGGUAACAUCAAAUCGUACCCCAAACCGACACAGGUGGUCAGGUAGAGAAUACCAAGGCGCUUGAGAGAACUCGGGUGAAGGAACUAGGCAAAAUGGUGCCGUAACUUCGGGAGAAGGCACGCUGAUAUGUAGGUGAAGCGACUUGCUCGUGGAGCUGAAAUCAGUCGAAGAUACCAGCUGGCUGCAACUGUUUAUUAAAAACACAGCACUGUGCAAACACGAAAGUGGACGUAUACGGUGUGACGCCUGCCCGGUGCCGGAAGGUUAAUUGAUGGGGUUAGCGGUAACGCGAAGCUCUUGAUCGAAGCCCCGGUAAACGGCGGCCGUAACUAUAACGGUCCUAAGGUAGCGAAAUUCCUUGUCGGGUAAGUUCCGACCUGCACGAAUGGCGUAAUGAUGGCCAGGCUGUCUCCACCCGAGACUCAGUGAAAUUGAACUCGCUGUGAAGAUGCAGUGUACCCGCGGCAAGACGGAAAGACCCCGUGAACCUUUACUAUAGCUUGACACUGAACAUUGAGCCUUGAUGUGUAGGAUAGGUGGGAGGCUUUGAAGUGUGGACGCCAGUCUGCAUGGAGCCGACCUUGAAAUACCACCCUUUAAUGUUUGAUGUUCUAACGUUGGCCCCUAAUCGGGGUUGCGGACAGUGUCUGGUGGGUAGUUUGACUGGGGCGGUCUCCUCCUAAAGAGUAACGGAGGAGCACGAAGGUUGGCUAAUCCUGGUCGGACAUCAGGAGGUUAGUGCAAUGGCAUAAGCCAGCUUGACUGCGAGCGUGACGGCGCGAGCAGGUGCGAAAGCAGGUCAUAGUGAUCCGGUGGUUCUGAAUGGAAGGGCCAUCGCUCAACGGAUAAAAGGUACUCCGGGGAUAACAGGCUGAUACCGCCCAAGAGUUCAUAUCGACGGCGGUGUUUGGCACCUCGAUGUCGGCUCAUCACAUCCUGGGGCUGAAGUAGGUCCCAAGGGUAUGGCUGUUCGCCAUUUAAAGUGGUACGCGAGCUGGGUUUAGAACGUCGUGAGACAGUUCGGUCCCUAUCUGCCGUGGGCGCUGGAGAACUGAGGGGGGCUGCUCCUAGUACGAGAGGACCGGAGUGGACGCAUCACUGGUGUUCGGGUUGUCAUGCCAAUGGCACUGCCCGGUAGCUAAAUGCGGAAGAGAUAAGUGCUGAAAGCAUCUAAGCACGAAACUUGCCCCGAGAUGAGUUCUCCCUGACUCCUUGAGAGUCCUGAAGGAACGUUGAAGACGACGACGUUGAUAGGCCGGGUGUGUAAGCGCAGCGAUGCGUUGAGCUAACCGGUACUAAUGAACCGUGAGGCUUAACCUUACAACGCCGAAG
This 2925-nucleotide ribosomal RNA is filed under the name Escherichia coli. Its description in RNAcentral is "bacterial LSU rRNA". It matches the Rfam family "Bacterial large subunit ribosomal RNA". Lineage: Bacteria; Pseudomonadati; Pseudomonadota; Gammaproteobacteria; Enterobacterales; Enterobacteriaceae. The record is from RNAcentral.